This 72-nucleotide small RNA is filed under the name Arabidopsis thaliana (thale cress). Its description in RNAcentral is "ATSL200210". Lineage: Eukaryota; Viridiplantae; Streptophyta; Magnoliopsida; Brassicales; Brassicaceae. The record is from RNAcentral.
AGGUCCCGCAAAAUCAUAUCAGAGGGGACUGCGGCGUUUACGCGUUAAAGAUUCUUGAAUGUUUAUUGCUUA